Molecule: ribosomal RNA, 534 nt
Filed under: uncultured bacterium
Lineage: Bacteria
Description: partial 16S ribosomal RNA
Rfam family: Bacterial small subunit ribosomal RNA
Source: RNAcentral
UGGGGAAUUUUGGACAAUGGGGGCAACCCUGAUCCAGCAAUGCCGCGUGUGUGAAGAAGGCCUUCGGGUUGUAAAGCACUUUUGUCCGGAAAGAAAACGCCGUGGUUAAUACCCGUGGCGGAUGACGGUACCGGAAGAAUAAGCACCGGCUAACUACGUGCCAGCAGCCGCGGUAAUACGUAGGGUGCAAGCGUUAAUCGGAAUUACUGGGCGUAAAGCGUGCGCAGGCGGUCCGCUAAGACAGAUGUGAAAUCCCCGGGCUUAACCUGGGAACUGCAUUUGUGACUGGCGGGCUAGAGUAUGGCAGAGGGGGGUAGAAUUCCACGUGUAGCAGUGAAAUGCGUAGAGAUGUGGAGGAAUACCGAUGGCGAAGGCAGCCCCCUGGGCCAAUACUGACGCUCAUGCACGAAAGCGUGGGGGAGCAAACAGGAUUAGAUACCCUGGUAGUCCACGCCCUAAACGAUGUCAACUAGUUGUCGGGUCUUCAUUGACUUGGUAACGUAGCUAACGCGUGAAGUUGACCGCCUGGGGAGU